Molecule: ribosomal RNA, 826 nt
Filed under: uncultured bacterium
Lineage: Bacteria
Description: bacterial SSU rRNA
Rfam family: Bacterial small subunit ribosomal RNA
Source: RNAcentral
GGCGGACGGGUGAGUAAUGCCUAGGAAUCUGCCUGGUAGUGGGGGACAACGUUUCGAAAGGAACGCUAAUACCGCAUACGUCCUACGGGAGAAAGCAGGGGACCUUCGGGCCUUGCGCUAUCAGAUGAGCCUAGGUCGGAUUAGCUAGUUGGUGAGGUAAUGGCUCACCAAGGCGACGAUCCGUAACUGGUCUGAGAGGAUGAUCAGUCACACUGGAACUGAGACACGGUCCAGACUCCUACGGGAGGCAGCAGUGGGGAAUAUUGGACAAUGGGCGAAAGCCUGAUCCAGCCAUGCCGCGUGUGUGAAGAAGGUCUUCGGAUUGUAAAGCACUUUAAGUUGGGAGGAAGGGCAUUAACCUAAUACGUUAGUGUUUUGACGUUACCGACAGAAUAAGCACCGGCUAACUCUGUGCCAGCAGCCGCGGUAAUACAGAGGGUGCAAGCGUUAAUCGGAAUUACUGGGCGUAAAGCGCGCGUAGGUGGUUUGUUAAGUUGGAUGUGAAAGCCCCGGGCUCAACCUGGGAACUGCAUCCAAAACUGGCAAGCUAGAGUACGGUAGAGGGUGGUGGAAUUUCCUGUGUAGCGGUGAAAUGCGUAGAUAUAGGAAGGAACACCAGUGGCGAAGGCGACCACCUGGACUGAUACUGACACUGAGGUGCGAAAGCGUGGGGAGCAAACAGGAUUAGAUACCCUGGUAGUCCACGCCGUANACGAUGUCAACUAGCCGUUGGAAUCCUUGAGAUUUUAGUGGCGCAGCUAACGCAUUAAGUNNACCGCCUGGGGAGUACGGCCGCAAGGUUAAAACUCAAAUGAAUUGACGGGGG